RNAcentral lists this ribosomal RNA (274 nucleotides) under uncultured bacterium. RNAcentral's name for it is "partial 16S ribosomal RNA". It matches the Rfam family "Bacterial small subunit ribosomal RNA", at positions 523 to 796 of the family's 1533-position model. The record is from RNAcentral.
AUACGGAGGGUGCAAGCGUUACUCGGAAUCACUGGGCGUAAAGCGCGCGCAGGCGGGCUGAUAAGUUGGAUGUGAAAGCCUACGGCUCAACCGUAGAACUGCAUCCAAAACUGUCAGUCUAGAGUGUGGGAGAGGAAGAUGGAAUUAGUUGUGUAGGGGUAAAAUCCGUAGAGAUAACUAGGAAUACCAAAAGCGAAGGCAAUCUUCUGGAACAGUACUGACGCUGAGGCGCGAAGGCGUGGGGAGCAAACAGGAUUAGAAACCCCGGUAGUCC